GUACUCGAUGGCUCAGUUGGAUAGAGCGUCUGCCCUAUACGUAGGAGAUCCCGGGUUCGAGUCCCGGUCGGGGCA
Non-coding RNA from Schistocerca serialis cubense, 75 nucleotides. The record is from the annotation of a RefSeq genome assembly. Lineage: Eukaryota; Metazoa; Arthropoda; Insecta; Orthoptera; Acrididae.